Molecule: non-coding RNA, 45 nt
Organism: Schistosoma haematobium
Lineage: Eukaryota; Metazoa; Platyhelminthes; Trematoda; Strigeidida; Schistosomatidae
Source: Rfam
AUCCAACUGACGAGUUCCAAAUAGGAAGAAACACGCGUUCUGGAU